This is an RNA transcript of Camelina sativa (false flax), 1549 nucleotides long. RefSeq lists it as uncharacterized. The record is from RefSeq and is a predicted model, not a curated record. Lineage: Eukaryota; Viridiplantae; Streptophyta; Magnoliopsida; Brassicales; Brassicaceae.
UAAAUAUGACUCAUCGUUAGAUUCUGUCCUCUCCAAAAAGAGUCUGUAAUUCUGUAUUACUCAACAAAAAUAUCAAAUUACCCAGGAAAAGACAAGUCCGUGUAAUUUUGAACACGACGUCGUUCAGCCCUGCCCAAAUCAAGCGAAAGUGAGUCAGAGGAGCUCAGACGUUCAGUAAUGGCGGAUGUUAAGGACUCAGGAGCGAUUACUAGGUAUGGAAUCGUAGGGAUUGGUAUGAUGGGAAGAGAACAUCUCAUCAAUCUUUACCAUCUUCGUGACCAAGGCCUCGCCGUCGUUUGUAUCGCCGAUCCUCACCCUCCCUCACAGCUCCUUGCCAUUGAACUCGCUCAAUCCUUUAAUUGGGAACUCAAAGUUUUCUCGGGACACGAAGAGUUGCUCAAGAGUGAGCUGUGUGACGUGAUUGUUGUGUCUUCUCCAAAUAUGACUCAUCAUCAGAUUCUUAUUGACAUUAUCAAUUAUCCAAAACCACAUCAUGUUCUUGUUGAGAAGCCUUUAUGCACCACAGUUGCUGAUUGCAAACAGGUUCUGGAGGCUGCAAAGAAAAGGUCAGAUAUGGUGGUGCAAGUUGGGUUAGAAUACAGAUACAUGCCCCCAGUAGCUAAGCUCAUAGAAAAAGUUAAAGGUAGAGAUUUUGGUAAUGUCAAGAUGGUAGCAAUCCGAGAACAUAGAUUCCCUUUCUUGGUUAAGGUGAAUAACUGGAAUAGAUUCAAUGUGAACACUGGAGGGACCUUAGUGGAGAAAUGCUGCCACUUCUUUGAUCUGAUGAGGCUCUUUGCCGGUGCAAACCCUCUAUGUGUGAUGGCUUCUGGAGGCAUGGAUGUGAACCACAAGGAUGAAGUUUAUGAUGGAAAGGUUCCUGAUAUAAUUGAUAACGCUUAUGUUAUAAUUGAGUUUGACAAUGGAUGUCGUGGGAUGCUUGAUCUUUGUAUGUUUGCUGAAGGAAGCAAAAAUGAGCAAGAAAUAUCUGUUACUGGUGACGUUGGAAAGAUAUUUCCAACUAUUCCCAAACCACUAUAUACUCCUGUAACACUCUCAUCUGAAGCAAGGCUCGUGCAUAUAUAUAGGGGGAGGCACUUGUUCCAGAGGGCAUAGUUCGAUUUGGCAGUCGUGCAAAAGGAAGAGAACACGAUCAAACGAUAAAAGCUGAGGAUGAAAGAAUAAAAUAUGAAGGGUUGCAUCACGGGUCAAGUUACUUGGAACACCUCACCUUCUUAUCAGCAAUCAGAGGUGAAGGAAGUGCAGCUGUAGAUUUGGAAGAUGGAUUGAUGGCUGUUGCCAUGGGAGUUGCUGCACAGCUCUCCAUUGAGGAGCGCCGCUAUGUAACUAUUGACGAGGUCUUGUGAUUUGUGACUGACAGAUAAGUAAAGAAACUAAUAUAGAACCUUUGUAAAUCUUGUAUUGUUGCUGUUCAUUAUAUGUCUGCCAUACGACUGUUUAUUGUAAGAAGUUAAGAACUAAGAAAGAGAGAGUGAUUAUCGUAAAAAAAAAAGAAAGAGAGAGUGAUCAACUGUUAUAAGAUAUAAGCCAA